AGCGUUCUAAGGGCGGUGAAGUCAGACCGGAAGGACUGGUGGAGCGCUUAGAAGUGAGAAUGCCGGUAUGAGUAGCGAAAGAAGGGUGAGAAUCCCUUCCACCGAAUAUCUAAGGUUUCCUGAGGAAGGCUCGUCCGCUCAGGGUUAGUCGGGACCUAAGCCGAGGCCGAUAGGCGUAGGCGAUGGACAACAGGUAGAGAUUCCUGUACCAGUGCUAAUUGUUUAACCGAUGGGGUGACACAGAAGGAUAGGGAAUCGCACGAAUGGAAAUGUGCGUCCAAGCAGUGAGUGUGAGAAGUAGGCAAAUCCGCUUCUCGCGAAGCAUGAGCUGUGAUGGGGAAGGAAAUUAAGUACGGAAGUUCCUGAUUUCACGCUGUCAAGAAAAGCCUCUAGGAAGAGUAGUACUGCCCGUACCGCAAACCGACACAGGUAGAUGAGGAGAGAAUCCUAAGGUGAGCGAGAGAACUCUCGUUAAGGAACUCGGCAAAAUGACCCCGUAACUUCGGGAGAAGGGGUGCUCUAUUAGGGUGCAAGCCCGAGAGAGCCGCAGUGAAUAGGCCCAGGCGACUGUUUAGCAAAAACACAGGUCUCUGCAAAACCGUAAGGUGACGUAUAGGGGCUGACGCCUGCCCGGUGCUGGAAGGUUAAGAGGAGUGCUUAGCUUCGGCGAAGGUACGAAUUGAAGCCCCAGUAAACGGCGGCCGUAACUAUAACGGUCCUAAGGUAGCGAAAUUCCUUGUCGGGUAAGUUCCGACCCGCACGAAAGGCGCAACGAUCUGGGCACUGUCUCAACGAGAGACUCGGUGAAAUUAUAGUACCUGUGAAGAUGCAGGUUACCCGCGACAGGACGGAAAGACCCCGUGGAGCUUUACUGCAACCUGAUAUGGAAUGUUUGUACCGCUUGUACAGGAUAGGUAGGAGCCGAAGAGACGUGUGCGCUAGCAUACGAGGAGGCAAUGGUGGGAUACUACCCUGGCUGUAUGACCAUUCUAACCCGCCACGCUUAGCGCGUGGGGAGACAGUGUCAGGUGGGCAGUUUGACUGGGGCGGUCGCCUCCUAAAGAGU
Molecule: ribosomal RNA, 1066 nt
Filed under: Listeria monocytogenes
Lineage: Bacteria; Bacillati; Bacillota; Bacilli; Caryophanales; Listeriaceae
Description: partial 23S ribosomal RNA
Rfam family: Bacterial large subunit ribosomal RNA
Source: RNAcentral